RNAcentral lists this ribosomal RNA (426 nucleotides) under uncultured bacterium. RNAcentral describes it as "bacterial SSU rRNA". It matches the Rfam family "Bacterial small subunit ribosomal RNA", at positions 354 to 796 of the family's 1533-position model. The record is from RNAcentral.
GUAAGGAAUCUUCCGCAAUGGGCGAAAGCCUGACGGAGCAACGCCGCGUGAAGGAUGAAAGCCUUCGGGUUGUAAACUUCUUUUGUUAGGGAAUAUUCAAGAAGGUACCUAAUGAAUAAGUCACGGCUAAUUACGUGCCAGCAGCCGCGGUAAUACGUAAGUGGCAAGCGUUAUCCGGAAUCAUUGGGCGUAAAGCGUCAGCAGGAGGUAUGUUUAGUGAGAUGUAAAAGCUCAUGGCUUAACCAUGGGACGGCAUCUCAUACUGGCAAACUAGAGGGACAUAGAGGCACAUGGAAUUCCAGGAGUAGGGGUAAUAUCCGUAGAUACCUGGAGGAACACCAAUAGCGAAGGCAAUGUGCUGGAUGUUUUCUGACUCUCAUUGACGAAAGCGUGGGGAGCGAACCGGAUUAGAUACCCCGGUAGUCC